Long non-coding RNA from Hydra vulgaris (swiftwater hydra), 661 nucleotides. RefSeq lists it as uncharacterized. The record is from RefSeq and is a predicted model, not a curated record. NCBI's taxonomy places the organism in Eukaryota, Metazoa, Cnidaria, Hydrozoa, Anthoathecata, Hydridae.
AUAAGCCUAAUGAUAAUGAUGGCAAAAGAGAUCCUAGCUUUAUUUUAACAAAAUUAUUUUUUAAUAUUUCUUUGUUAAAUUUUCUUAAAUAAAUUUAUUAUAGGGUUGGUUAUUGGAAAAAGGUGGACUGAUGCCACAGCUACCCAAUGAUACUCGCUGGAACUCCCAACUAGAUUGUUUACAGACAUACAUAUCUAAUUAUUCUCUGUACGUUGACAUUAGAGGUGAGCAUAUGGAAUCCAUUGAUCCUUCGAUAGGAAGCCUAAUUGACAAUCUAUCAAUACAGAGAGAAGCAAUAAAUUAAUAUGCACAACUGAAAAUUGUUGGUGUUGCGUUAGAUAAGUUGCAAGCAGACGAUACAACUUUGUCUGAAGCAGUUGAGAUUUGGCAAAGCCUCAUACAUAAUGAAAAAUUGGCUUUGUACAAAGAUGAUAUUUUAAAGAGGUUCAAGAAGGCAAUUAUUCCAUGUCAUUUUCUUGCCAAUUUAACAGAUCCAAAAUAUGAAGGAAGAACAUUGGAUAGAAGUCAAGAAGAAGAAGCUGAGGAAUGGUUGAAUGAAGUCUAUCCUGAAUUUAUGCCAGGCUAUUAUGCGUUUAAACUAAAAGAUGCUAAUUGUUUCCCAACAUAUUUAUUCAACGAUAGUGUUAAAAGCACAACAUCA